This 488-nucleotide ribosomal RNA is filed under the name uncultured Omnitrophica bacterium. RNAcentral describes it as "bacterial SSU rRNA". It matches the Rfam family "Bacterial small subunit ribosomal RNA", at positions 916 to 1381 of the family's 1533-position model. The record is from RNAcentral. Lineage: Bacteria; Pseudomonadati; Candidatus Omnitrophota.
ACGGGGCCCGCACAAGCAGUGGAACAUGUGGUUCAAUUCGACGCUACGCGAAGAACCUCACCAGGGUUUGACAUAUAGGUAGUAGGAACCUGAAAGGGAGACGACUCGUUAAGCCGAGUGCCUAUACAGGUGUUGCAUGGCUGUCGUCAGCUCGUGCCGUGAGGUGUUGGGUUAAGUCCCGCAACGAGCGCAACCAUCAUCCUUAGUUGCUACCGAGGGAUCCGAAAGGGUCCUGGCGAGCACUCUAAGGAGACUGCCCGUGAUAAACGGGAGGAAGGUGGAGAUGACGUCAAGUCCGUAUGGCCCUUAUACCCUGGGCUACACACGUGUUACAAUGGGAUGUACAGAGCGUUGCCAAACCGCGAGGUGGAGCUAAUCGCAAAAAGCAUCCCCCAGUUCAGAUUGGAGUCUGCAACCCGACUCCAUGAAGUUGGAAUUGCUAGUAACGGCGGAUCAGCUACGCCGCCGUGAAUACGUUCCCGGGCCUU